This 460-nucleotide ribosomal RNA is filed under the name uncultured bacterium. RNAcentral describes it as "partial 16S ribosomal RNA". It matches the Rfam family "Bacterial small subunit ribosomal RNA", at positions 338 to 795 of the family's 1533-position model. The record is from RNAcentral.
CCUACGGGAGGCAGCAGUGAGGAAUAUUGGUCAAUGGACGAGAGUCUGAACCAGCCAAGUAGCGUGAAGGAUGACUGCCCUAUGGGUUGUAAACUUCUUUUAUAAAGGAAUAAAACGAGGCACGUGUGCCUUUUUGCAUGUACUUUAUGAAUAAGGAUCGGCUAAACCCGUGCCAGCGGCCGCGGUAAUACGGAGGAUCCGCACGUUAUCCGGAUUUUUUGGGUUUAAAGGAAGCGUUGAGAGGUUGUUAAGUCAGUUGUGAAAGUUGUCGGGUCAAACGUAAAAUUGCAAUUGAUACUGGCAGUCUUGAGUACAGUUGAGGUAGGCGGAAUGCGUGGUGUAGCGGUGAAAUGCUUAGAUAUCACGAAGAACCCCGAUUGCGAAGGCAGCUGACUAAGCUGUGACUGACAUUGAUGCUCGAAAGUGUGGGUAUCAAACAGGAUUAGAUACCCGGGUAGUC